Molecule: long non-coding RNA, 3635 nt
Filed under: Lactuca sativa (garden lettuce)
Lineage: Eukaryota; Viridiplantae; Streptophyta; Magnoliopsida; Asterales; Asteraceae
Description: long non-coding RNA (LSAT_LNC007128)
Source: RNAcentral
UUAUGCCAAGGUAAUCCUAUCAAUAAUAUAUUAUAAUAAUAAUAAUAAUAAUAAUAAUAAUAAUAAUAAUAAUAAUAUACAAUAUGUUACAUAUUAGUUUUAACUUGAAAUAUAAUAAUUAGUUUUUUUUCACAUGCUAUAUGAAAGGUAUCGAAAGUGUGGUAUUCCUGAAACUCAUGAUUUAGGUCAACUUGAAGGUAAGAGAGGUUUAGGUUUAAAAAUAAUCAUGCCAACUCGUGAAGAGUUACAUUUAGUGGUGCUAAAACACAUGAGAUGUCUUACUCCAUAGAUUGAUGAACACAUGGACAUGUUAAAAACCCUUAUCAUGUAGUUCAAGUUCUCAUAUUCAAGAGAUAUGUGGGUGUGGGAUUUUGGUGAACUCGAUGAUUAUACAGUUUUAAAAGCUUGUAGAGUUAUUGGUGAUACUUCUUUUACAGAUGGAGCUCGGUCUAUCAUGUGCAAUAAAUAUAUCUCCCAUAAAUUUAAUAUAUUUAAUUGGAUAUGUUGGUUAAGCAUAUUACCAACUAGUCUUAACUUAGCUGACAAAGGCUUGGAUGUUCCUUCUGUGGUUUGUUUGAUCUGAAAUGGUGGCAUGGAAGACAUCAAUCAUAUUCUCAUUCAUUAUGAGGUGGCUAUCGAUCCUUGUAAGUUUCUUGGGAGAUGAUACGAUACUACGAUGUUACUUUUCCUACUUUCUUAGAAAUUGAAGAUGUGGUGACCUGGAUCGACUUGCUUCACUUGUUUGUUGUCGAACGAUGUGAUGUUGAAGCCAUUAUCAUGGAUAUGUGUUUGUUGCUUGGGAACUUCAGGGACAAUAUUAUCUUUAAAGGACAAAAGAUGAAAUAGAAUAUGUUGAUUGAUAGCUUGAUCGGUUAUUCCUAUAAUUGGUUUGUUCUUAGGAAUAGAAAAUUUAGCAUUAGUCAUGUUGUGUGGCUUUCAAACCUGAUUUUACAUAUUCCUUUGUAGUUCUUGUUACCCUUUGCAAACUUUCUCUUAAAAUAUCAGUUGUUCAAAAAAAAAAUAGACAGAUAAUAAACUAAAGUUACAACACAACGCUAAUAUUUUGUAGAAAAAAAAUGUUGUUUGGUGUUUGAGAAGCCAAUUCAUGCCCUUGGUGUUUGAGAAGUCAAUAGGAUCGUAAGAUCUUUUAGCAGUCUUGAAUCUACAAAACGUAGGGUUGAGCAAAACUAAAACCGAAAAACCAAAACCGACAAAACCAAAACCGACAAAUCAAAACCAAAUCCAAACCGUUGGGUUUGGAUUUAAACUUCUAAAAAAUGAGAAAAUGGGUUCUAGGUUCAGUUUUAGUACUUAAAACCGACCCAUAGGAACCGGCCCAACCCAUUAGGUUGAACCCAACUUAAAACCGAUCCGUUCUAUAUAAAAUUAUACCGAUUAUAUAAGUAUUUUAUUAUAAAGCGUGAGAUAUUAUCAAAAGUCCUAAGUUGCCCAGCCGGUUAAGUCGCAUAUCAAGGGUUUUAGUUGGGUCACUACAACCGGUUCAACUGGACUUUCUCAAAAACCUAUCAAAUGUCUCCGACAUAGAAUUAGCAUAAAACUGGUACUUAUUAAAUUGGUCACUACCGUGGUUCUAAUUCAACCAGUAAAUCAGCCAGUUAAACCAAUUUAUAAAACCUUUAAAUCAGACGAUUAACCUAAUUUUUAAAACCUUGGGUGGUAGAAUAUAAUUCAAUGUAGGAAUAUAUGUGUUUUAUUGGGCUAGAAGAAUUUUAUGUCCUCGGACCCAUACCUAAUCGGCAGUUAACCCGUCUUUAUGACUAUCUUGAGCAAUCGAAGGACAACCUGCUUCAGCUCCACCUUGAGGAACAUCUUCAUACUAGUCCACCACCAAAGACACGAGGCUAUGUUGAAAAUUUCCACGUCUACUUUCAUUGUCCAACUUCUUCAUAUCAAUUUGAGCAACAUACUUUCCGACAUUUGAUACUACCUCAAAGCCACCAUAUUCCACCCACCCAUUUAGAGAUACUCUCCCCCUUCUCUGCCAUACCAAAACAACCAUCUCGGUGGACCAUCACUUCUUAUCGAAUCUUGUAUCUUGACUCAAAAUGGCAAGCCUCUUGUACGAGGACUAGGUAUCCCUCACUUGCAAGCCUCUUUCCGAAAAAUGGAAACCACAUUCUUUAUUUCUUAGCAACGCCUCCACCUUGUACCAAAACUCAACUCGCCAUAGUAAUAUGUUCUUUGUAACCAUGCCAAUUUACCACUUGAAGCACCACCCCUCUAUUGUGUCAAAUAACCAAGACCGUCACAGCUUUCUUCCAUGAAACAACUCAAUUUCCCUCCUCCCAAGAACUAGUGUCUUUGUUCUUCAACUCAACUUUCUUGAUCAAUCAAACAUUAUGAAACCCAUGAGUGACCUAACACCCAAUGGUCUCAAUUCACCCUUUUCAUUAAUCCUAGAAAUUCAAUGCCCAAGAGCAAACCAGUCACCACAUUAUUGAUUACUUUAGGACUUUUAUUGAAUACCUUGUGUACAAUCUCAAGACUCAAUCUCAACACAAACUUUCUUUGUGGAAGGACUUCAUUUUCAAUUCAAAUCACUAAAACAAAGGCAGUUGAACAAAACAAAACGAAUUUCAUUGUUUUUGUUACCUAACCUUCGAAAUUGAAGAACUUCCAGCCUACCCCACUGGUGACUUGGUGAUUGGUGUGAAAUUUGAAUUCUGAAAAUUCUGCAUUGAUUUUGAUCAAAUCCUUUUCGAAAACUCAAGUGGAUCUGCACCCAAACCUAUUUUCGUCACCCUUGAUCGAUUACCAUGAACAGGCUCCAAGAACUUCACAAAAACAGCCCCUUCAUUGAAAAAAAUAAAAAAUAUAUAAAAAUAAAACAACCUCCCCUCAAGCACUCAUACCAAUUUGUUGUGCAUUUGCCGAAACAUAACGAAAUAAUUAGGAAAAAAUCGUUAGAAAAAAAAAAAAAAAAAGUAUGCCAAAAGUUUUCCCUACUAGCAGAAGUGAUUCUGGAAAUUAUUUCUAACAGAACCAAACUUAUUUAUGUAUGUCACUAUAUAUAUAUUGAACAGCCGCAGUUGUCCUAUAUUGGUAUGUUAUUAUCUAUACAUACAUUUUUAUAGAAUAAUAUAAUUAGUGUUGUAGUCGCAUUGUGGAUUCAUCCACUCAUGAUUUCAGUUGUAGUAUUUGAUAUUUUAUAACUUCAAAAUCAAUAAACUUGCUAGCCAAUCAACAUCCUACAAAUAAUUCAACAUACAUAGAUUUUUUUUCCCUUUUAAUGUGGCACUGAAAUUAAAUCCGUAGGGAAAAUUCAACUUCCCUAAGAUGUAUGACAUAGUAACGCGCAUGCUUCAUUUGUGAGUGUAUGCCUUUGUGAUAAGAAAUACUAUGAUUUUUCUCGGAAUCAAAUUGACGUACCUAGUUGAAUACGUACAACAACGUUUAUUCGUUUAUAUGUUUUGCAAAUUUAUGACCUGUGAUUUUUUAUGAUGAAAUGAAAACAUGUUACAAAAUCGCUGUCUGAAUGAUUGAAUACUGAAUCCCAACACUUGAGCAGCUCUUACAGGAACACAAGAAAUGGAUAGACAAUCAUAAAUAAUUAAGUUGCAUGAGGCAAAAUCGUUGAGUGCUAGUAUUUAGCAAGCUUUGCAUAUAUACCAAAG